CUGCUGUCUGCAGAUCAAGAUGUAGAACUCUCAGCUCCUUCUCCAGCACCGUGUCCGCCUGCACGCCACCGUGUCCCGCCAUGAUUAUGAACUAAACCUCCAGAACUGGCAGGCCAGCCACAGCAGAGCAGAAAAACGUUUCCCCUGGGUUCCAGAUCCUCAUACAGCCUGGCGUCGGAGCUGGUGAAGGCCAGAGGUCUGCCGAGCUCGGUCCUGCAUCCCAUCCGACUUACCUAGUGGUUGUGAAGACGGGAAGGUGGGUGGAAGCUGGAAGUAGACAGUUCUUAAAGGGACAAAGACAACCGGAGGUAAUGUGGACUCUUGACCUGCAACCUCCCGUCUCUCCGCCGUCACGCUGUCCGACUCAGCCAAGGUCAAGCUGUCUGCAGGAGUCAGAGAACUUCCCAGGGAGAUGAGACAAUCACACAAAUCUCCUCAACACAGGUAUUCUGUGGCACGGGCUCCUUCAGAUGGACGGAAACACAGACCUGAAGACGGACCGAAACAGGAUGAUCUAGUACUGGGCAGGAUGAAGCAUGGAGAGUCAGGGAGAAAGAUGCUAAGACAAGAGGGUACUGAGUAAGGGGGGCCGCAAAUGAACCCCUUCCAAUUCCUCUCUGUGGUGUAUCUACAGGGAAGAAGAUGCUCCUCCCCCAGGGUGAGGGUGCCGCUCUUAGAAGCAUCUGUGACAUUUCCAAGAGAAGCUCACAGGGAUCCUCCUGACCUCCCAUCCCUCCAGUAGUCGAGAUCUUCUAAUGUCUGCCUCCUGAGUUGCUGGGGUUGAAGGCGCAUGCCACUGUACCUGGCUGGAUGAAGUAACCUCAAACGCCAUCCGUAUUCAGGUCGACCUGCAGUCUCCAGUGAACAGCGUGACAGCUGGACUGCAUCCAGCAAUCAAAAUACCAGAAAAAAAAAAAUCUCUGUCCCGUAUGUUUCACCCUUGCCCGACUUACCCGCCGGAGAAUAAACACCGUCAUCGCUGGUGGCUGUUAAGGCAGUGGAGCUCAGAGGAAGCGGCUUCACCUAUGCACCCUGUGGCCCGCAGGCCGGGGUCCCAGCAGGGAGCCCAGAGGACAGGGCUGGAGAGGACAGAGGAACUGCAGAAAUCGGCUGCUGUGGAUGGAAGCCGUCUGUCCUUCCUCGGAGCCCAGGCUGGUGGUACCUGAGGGUAACGGGCUUUCAGGAAGUGGAGCCUAGUGGGAGGACUUGGCUCAUCCCUGCAAGGGAUUAUGGACACUUCUCCCUCCCUCCCUGCCUCCCUCUCCUCCCUGGCUCUAAGCAUACUCUUUCCUUUGUAUGUACGUGCUCCUCCCAUCGUAAUGUAAGACGGCACGGAGGGGUCCUCGCCAGAGCAUAGGCCCAGCGGCUUGCACUUUGGACUUCUGUAUGGUACUUUCCAGUGGAGUAGAGUAUUCUAAGAUGAGGAAAGCCAAGCUGCUGCAUCUGGCCAGCCGCACCUUCCCUCAGACGCGUCUCACAGAACUGUUGUAUAGGUCGACCUUCCAGCCGAACAGCAGCCACCUGCUGGGUCCGCCUGCAAACAUCCUCUCAGCCGGGCGUGUUGCUGGUGACAUCCCCUCGUAGAAGGAGGGCAGGGGAGGGUACCGGGACCUUCGGUUUCCUAGUCAGUCCCUCUGUCCUACCAGCUGUCAGCAAUUCUGCCAUGAUGACACCUGGCCUCCGGGAGGGGCUACAAGAAAUAGUUUUGGGGGUGGUUGAGGGAGAGCGCUCCAGCUGUGUGGAUGUGGGAACGCCAUCAUCCAGCUGGGUAAAGACUUUCUUUCCAGUGCAGCCUUUGGUGUGGGGUCGGGAGUGGGGCAUGACACCCACACCUCUGUAGGUAACCCCUCUGUAAGGAAGCCCAAUAAACACAUCGAUUCCCCCAGAGUGAACUUGGAUGGCCUCACACUCCGUCUGCUGUGGAGACCUCAAAGGGAAGGGUAAACCGUGUCUGCAUCUCCCCCAGGGAAGGGGUUUCAGCAACAGCCACUGUCAAAAUGUGCAUCGAUUAGAUGGAUUAGAUUCCAACUAAACGAAGCCCUGGCCAAUAGAGAAUUCCAGAAGAGCCAGUCCCAUCCUACUGUAGAGCAGUCACAAACUGCCCCCCAGACUUCCCACUUACUACAGAAGGUCCCAAGACUCAGACAGGCGGCAGAGUGGAGCUGUGCAUCGUAUUGAUAUGUAUCACGGAGGACUGUAGACUCUGCACCAGGCACUUUCCAGCGGCUUUGCACUCCGUCGCGGCAGUUCAAAGAGUCUGUGUUUUACAGAUGCGCAGGGAAGAAGAUCAAGCUCUCCGAAAGGAAAAGUCGUGUUUGAAACCGUCCACACAGCGCUAACAGCAGAGGAGUGGCGGAGCGAGCGAAUUUAUUUCUAUAUUGCUGACAACAUGUUUAUGACCCAAAGAUGCAGAAUAGAAAUGGAUCCACUUCAAAGCCAUGCACACAGGCUCUCUCUCUCUCUCUCUCUCUCUCUCUCUCUCUCUCUCUCUCUCUCUCUCUCUCUCUCUCUGUCUCUCAGAACACAGGAAGAUGGCGAACAGUUUGGGAGUUGGAGUGCAAUGAAGUUUUUAACCCCUCAAAUUGUCUUCUCUUAAAUUUUAAUCUCUUAAAUUCUCUUCAGAAUAUUGCUUUCACAAUUAACAAAAUGGAGAGGUGAGGAAAUUCUGUUAUCCCACGGUGCCAUUUUAGUUGAGGGUUGUGAUAAAUAAAUGAU
Molecule: non-coding RNA, 2715 nt
Organism: Peromyscus maniculatus bairdii (prairie deer mouse)
Lineage: Eukaryota; Metazoa; Chordata; Mammalia; Rodentia; Cricetidae
Source: RefSeq, a predicted model, not a curated record